UACGGGAGGGCAGCAGUGGGGGAAUAUUGCACAAUGGGCGCAAGCCUGAUGCAGCCAUGCCGCGUGUAUGAAGAAGGCCUUCGGGUUGUAAAGUACUUUCAGUCGUGAGGAAGGUGUUAAGGUUAAUAACCUUAGCAAUUGACGUUAGCGACAGAAGAAGCACCGGCUAACUCCGUGCCAGCAGCCGCGGUAAUACGGAGGGUGCGAGCGUUAAUCGGAAUUACUGGGCGUAAAGGGCACGCAGGCGGUUAAUUAAGUUGGAUGUGAAAUCCCUGGGCUUAACCUGGGAAUGGCAUUCAAGACUGGUUAGCUAGAGUCUUGUAGAGGGGGUAGAAUUCCGAUGUGUAGCGGUGAAAUGCGUAGAGAUGUGGAGGAAUACCGGUGGCGAAGGCGGCCCCUGGGACAAAGACUGACGCUCAUGUGCGAAAGCGUGGGGAGCAAACAGGGAUUAGAUACC
Molecule: ribosomal RNA, 457 nt
Filed under: uncultured bacterium
Lineage: Bacteria
Description: bacterial SSU rRNA
Rfam family: Bacterial small subunit ribosomal RNA
Source: RNAcentral